AUGUCUGAACAGUGAGCCGAGAGUGCCCGCCGAAUGGCAGGCAGGCCGUCCUCACUGCGAGCCUUCAGACGGAGACAGGAAGAGAGACGCUGUUGAUUACCAGACCUGAGCUGGGCAUCGAUCCUCGUAUAGCCACGGGUUGGAACGUCCAUGUGUGAUUUAGAGAGCGAGCCGCUACCCACAGCUAAAGGCCCAACAGACACGAGGAGGAGGGAUUUCAAGGAUUUUUCCGUAUUGAACAAACCAUUAUGGACCUAAAGCAGAUUGAAUGAGACAGCUGCCUUCUGUUACCCGCAAUAAAUAUGGCAGAGUCUUUUGCCAAAGACGAGGGGGAUUCAAACAGGCAGAUUUAUUAAAGACACCCAGCACGACUCUUCCCUGCAGUGCAAAAACAACCUGUGAUCCUGCUUCCUGCUCCACUUGCUGCCCACCACGUCCAACCUCCAGUAUUCUGACUCCAUUACUUGCCGAGCUCUGCUAUUCCAGCACUCCAGCCUGCCCUGACCAAAUCAUCCCUUCCAAACAUAUCCAUGGUGACCCCAGCCUUGUUGCUCCAUCAUUUAUUCGUUUGCAAAUAAUUCAGCGACGAGUCCUCACCUCUCCUUCGAUUGUCAGUUUCUCAGGGAAACUGUCUUAGCAGCACUAUGUACAAGUGUUUCUUAUAUCAAAGACUUUCUAUCUCUAAACCAGAUGUUGGAAUAGUUAGAGAUCAUCUUAUAAGCAGGGUAUUCAGUGUCACCUGUUGGCCAAAGCAGUGGUUUACAGUACCGUACACUACACUUCUAUACAGCCGUCGAAGAUUCCCCUCGUACAUCCCUUUCUCUCUGUGACCUUGGGUAAUAAUUAUUCAUAUUGUAUGAACUUAGGUCCGCUGGAACAUUUCUUCCUUCAUUAAUUCUAAUAUGUACAGUGCUGUGGGCCUGACAACUCAUGUACACACUCGUCAGUAAAACUUGCGUUUUCUC
This is a long non-coding RNA of Hippoglossus stenolepis (Pacific halibut), 965 nucleotides long. RefSeq lists it as uncharacterized. The transcript is spliced from 3 exons. The record is from RefSeq and is a predicted model, not a curated record. Lineage: Eukaryota; Metazoa; Chordata; Actinopteri; Pleuronectiformes; Pleuronectidae.